AAUCAACGCUGGCGGCGUGCCUCAGACAUGCAAGUCGAACGAUUAAAGCUCUCUUCGGAGAGUGUAUAGAGUGGCGCACGGGUGAGUAACACGUAAGUAAUCUACCCUCGAGUGGGGAAUAACAACCGGAAACGGUUGCUAAUACCGCAUAAUGCAGCGGCACCGCAAGGUGACAGUUGUUAAAGAUUUAUCGGCUUGAGGAGGAGCUUGCGGCAGAUUAGCUAGUUGGUAGGGUAACGGCUUACCAAGGCUACGAUCUGUAACCGGUCUAAGAGGACGGUCGGUCGACACUGACACUGAAUAACGGGUCAGACUCCUACGGAGGCAGCAGUCGGGAAUUUUGGGCAAUGGGCGAAA
RNAcentral lists this ribosomal RNA (357 nucleotides) under uncultured bacterium. Its description in RNAcentral is "bacterial SSU rRNA". It matches the Rfam family "Bacterial small subunit ribosomal RNA", at positions 32 to 380 of the family's 1533-position model. The record is from RNAcentral.